This is a long non-coding RNA of Pogonomyrmex barbatus (red harvester ant), 685 nucleotides long. The record is from RefSeq and is a predicted model, not a curated record. NCBI's taxonomy places the organism in Eukaryota, Metazoa, Arthropoda, Insecta, Hymenoptera, Formicidae.
GUGUAUAAUGUACUUGAGAAUAGCAACGAGCUGACCGAGCGAGAAUGUGACACGCCGUCUUCUGCGUCAGCCUGACCGACAACCUGUUAAAGCCUGAAAAACUCGUGCUGCUCACGGAGUGCUCACACGGCCCUGAGGAAUUGCGCAUGGCACGCAAGUUGACGAUUGCACACGCCGCGCGUUGCGCCCGUCAAGUCCGCCCGGAACCAAACCCAGCCUUGGUGGGGAACGAUCGAUAAAUUCGAAGUCACAACGUUCUACCGGCGAGUAAGCAUUCCGCUGUGUUAUCCGAGAGUUCGACCGUACGAGCGACAAGCCAAAGCCAAGAUGCCGGGACCAGGAUGCGACAAGUGCAAGGAUAAAUGCCAGGAUUGCAAGUGUGGCGACAACUGCUCGUGUUGUGAGUCCGGAUGCAAGGAUCAAUGUAGCUGCAAGUCGGGUGGAAAUUGCACAUGCAAACCUUGCACCUGUUAAUUCAUAACCAUGUCAAGGACAAUCUACGUUGCAAGCUAUAAUACAUUCCUAAUAUGCCAGAGUAAAUCCAAUAUAUAGGCAAAAUUCGAAAUAUAUGAUUGACAAUGUAAAACCCUACGCUUACAAUUAGUAAAAGUUAGAGAUGCAAGGCGAAGCUUUCGUUUUUCUGUUAAAUAAUUAAUAAAUUAAUAAAAUUCAUAAACUUUAAGUA